Molecule: ribosomal RNA, 505 nt
Filed under: uncultured bacterium
Lineage: Bacteria
Description: partial 16S ribosomal RNA
Rfam family: Bacterial small subunit ribosomal RNA
Source: RNAcentral
AUUGAACGCUGGCGGCAGGCUUAACACAUGCAAGUCGAGCGGUAACAGAGAGAAGCUUGCUUCUCUGCUGACGAGCGGCGGACGGGUGAGUAAUGCCUAGGAAUCUGCCUAGUAGUGGGGGAUAACUUGCCGAAAGGUAAGCUAAUACCGCAUACGUCCUACGGGAGAGAGGAGGGGACCUUCGGGCCUUUCGCUAUUAGAUGAGCCUAGGUCGGAUUAGUUAGUUGGUGAGGUAAUGGCUCACCAAGACCGCGAUCCGUAACUGGUCUGAGAGGAUGAUCAGUCACACUGGAACUGAGACACGGUCCAGACUCCUACGGGAGGCAGCAGUGGGGAAUAUUGGACAAUGGGGGAACCCUGAUCCAGCCAUGCCGCGUGUGUGAAGAAGGUUUUAGGAUUGUAAAGCACUUUAAGUUGGGAGGAAGAGCAGUUAACUAAUAUUUGACUGUUUUGACGUUACCGACAGAAUAAGCACCGGCUAACUUCGUGCCAGCCGCCGCCGUAA